Papaver somniferum (opium poppy) is the source of this 603-nucleotide long non-coding RNA. RefSeq lists it as uncharacterized. The record is from RefSeq and is a predicted model, not a curated record. The transcript is spliced from 3 exons. Lineage: Eukaryota; Viridiplantae; Streptophyta; Magnoliopsida; Ranunculales; Papaveraceae.
UACUUCAACUAUCAGUUCAAUCUUGCAAUUUGACAUACUAUAUAUGCUUUUCAAUGCUUUGCAGGCAAGUUUCAGACAGAAAUUGAGAAGAGUUGGGCAACUGAGAUUAUUUCUAGAAUAAACUUGAGGUUGGGAAAUACUGUUCGAUAGUGAACUCUCGAUUCAAGUGCUUGUUUUCUCGUUCUCAACCGGUUAAGCUCUUUGUUGCAUCAUCACCCGACAGAACUUCCCUAGCACACUUUUGAAUUUGUCAAAUAUACAACGGUAUACAAUCAGUAAUGCACUAACCAUGUAAUUUUCUUGGAAUUGUACCCGACCCUUACAUGAUUCACCUUUUAUGGUAUAGAAAACCAACCAACUUUAGUGCCUUUGGUUUUCCUCUCUCUCCCCCCCUCUCUCUCUCUCUCUGUAUUUGUUCCUUUUUCCUGGGGGAUGUGUCAUGUGGCUAGUAGCAGUAACAGCAGUAUGUUGUGAGGCAGAGCUAUGGAAAGUAAUAUGUUGUGAGGAUGUUGCUUGUUAUAAACAGGGUUAUGAGCUAUUAGGUCAGAUGGAGCCAUAUAUCAACAAGAUUACUAGUACCGAUAAUAAAUGUUGCAGCGGUGG